RNAcentral lists this ribosomal RNA (497 nucleotides) under uncultured bacterium. Its description in RNAcentral is "partial 16S ribosomal RNA". It matches the Rfam family "Bacterial small subunit ribosomal RNA", at positions 28 to 507 of the family's 1533-position model. The record is from RNAcentral.
GAUGAACGCUGGCGGCGUGCCUAAUACAUGCAAGUCGAGCGAACAGACGAGGAGCUUGCUCCUCUGACGCUAGCGGCGGACGGGUGAGUAACACGUGGAUAACCUACCUAUAAGACUGGGAUAACUUCGGGAAACCGGAGCUAAUACCGGAUAAUAUAUUGAACCGCAUGGUUCAAUAGUGAAAGACGGUUUUGCUGUCACUUACAGAUGGAUCCGCGCCGCAUUAGCUAGUUGGUAAGGUAACGGCUUACCAAGGCAACGAUGCGUAGCCGACCUGAGAGGGUGAUCGGCCACACUGGAACUGAGACACGGUCCAGACUCCUACGGGAGGCAGCAGUAGGGAAUCUUCCGCAAUGGGCGAAAGCCUGACGGAGCAACGCCGCGUGAGUGAUGAAGGACUUCGGAUCGUAAAACUCUGCUAUUAGGGAAGAACAAAUGUGUAAGUAACUAUGCACGUCUUGACGGUACCUAAUCAGAAAGCCACGGCUAACUACGUG